UAGAAUUCCACGUGUAGCAGUGAAAUGCGUAGAGAUGUGGAGGAAUACCGAUGGCGAAGGCAGCCUCCUGGGAUAACACUGACGUUCAUGCUCGAAAGCGUGGGUAGCAAACAGGAUUAGAUACCCUGGUAGUCCACGCCCUAAGCGAUGACAAUUAGCUGUUGGGACACUAGAUGUUUUAGUAGCGAAGCUAACGCGUGAAAUUGUCCGCCUGGGGAGUACGGUCGCAAGAUUAAAACUCAAAGGAAUUGACGGGGACCCGCACAAGCGGUGGAUGAUGUGGAUUAAUUCGAUGCAACGCGAAGAACCUUACCUGGUCUUGACAUGUACGGAAUCUCUUAGAGAUAGGAGAGUGCCUUCGGGAGCCGUAACACAGGUGCUGCAUGGCUGUCGUCAGCUCGUGUCGUGAGAUGUUGGGUUAAGUCCCGCAACGAGCGCAACCCUUGUCAUUAGUUGCCAUCAUUAAGUUGGGCACUCUAAUGAGACUGCCGGUGACAAACCGGAGGAAGGUGGGGAUGACGUCAAGUCCUCAUGGCCCUUAUGACCAGGGCUUCACACGUCAUACAAUGGUCGGUACAGAGGGUAGCGAAGCCGCGAGGUGAAGCCAAUCUCAGAAAGCCGAUCGUAGUCCGGAUUGCACUCUGCAACUCGAGUGCAUGAAGUCGGAAUCGCUAGUAAUCGCAGGUCAGCAUAC
Molecule: ribosomal RNA, 694 nt
Filed under: uncultured Snodgrassella sp.
Lineage: Bacteria; Pseudomonadati; Pseudomonadota; Betaproteobacteria; Neisseriales; Neisseriaceae
Description: bacterial SSU rRNA
Rfam family: Bacterial small subunit ribosomal RNA
Source: RNAcentral